Molecule: transfer RNA, 88 nt
Filed under: Nitrososphaerota archaeon
Lineage: Archaea; Thermoproteati; Nitrososphaerota
Description: Thaumarchaeota archaeon tRNA-Leu
Rfam family: tRNA
About the family: Transfer RNA (tRNA) molecules are approximately 80 nucleotides in length. Their secondary structure includes four short double-helical elements and three loops (D, anti-codon, and T loops).
Source: RNAcentral
GCGGGCGUCGCCCAGCCUGGCUAAAGGCGGCGGACUCAAGAUCCGCUCCCUCAGGGGUUCGUGGGUUCAAAUCCCACCGCCCGCACCA